This 523-nucleotide long non-coding RNA is filed under the name Papio anubis (olive baboon). RNAcentral's name for it is "lncRNA (ENSPANG00000049161.1)". The record is from RNAcentral. Lineage: Eukaryota; Metazoa; Chordata; Mammalia; Primates; Cercopithecidae.
ACUUUUUACAAUAUUUUAACAGUCCUAAAACUUUUAAGAAGAUUUGAUAUUUGUUUUCUAUUGUAGUUUAGGACAGAAUGUUUUAAAUAUCAUGAGGUGGUUCAAUAUAUUCUUGUCAACAUAGCCAAUUAUUAAGAGGAAAGAGCAUGUAGAUCCACUGAGGCCCUGACAUUAGCUACCAUAAGAAACAUUUGCAUGUGUUGGAAAUAAUUUUCGGUAUCCCAAAUUUUAAAGAACUAUUUAAAUGUUAAUAAUGAAUUUCAAAUUUACUUUUUAGGAUAUGAAGAUGAGUCCUUUGGGAGAGGUUAUCUUGUGAGCUAACAGACCUCACAUAGCCAAACGGAUGGAAAUUUUGCUACUGACGUCAGCUUUUCCUAUCAUUCUGGGAAACAAAAUUGUUUUCUAUUCCAACAAUCAGCAGACUUGCUGAAGAUUCUUUUUUUGCCUGGCUGAUUAUGGACUACUCCCAUCAACAAGGAAGAAGGGGGAAAUAGCAAAUUAUGCUCCAUAUAUUGUUUGGAGA